Molecule: ribosomal RNA, 508 nt
Filed under: uncultured bacterium
Lineage: Bacteria
Description: partial 16S ribosomal RNA
Rfam family: Bacterial small subunit ribosomal RNA
Source: RNAcentral
GAUGAACGCUAGCUACAGGCUUAACACAUGCAAGUCGAGGGGAAACGACAUCGAAAGCUUGCUUUUGAUGGGCGUCGACCGGCGCACGGGUGAGUAACGCGUAUCCAACCUGCCCACCACUUGGGGAUAACCUUGCGAAAGUAAGACUAAUACCCAAUGAUAUCUCUAGAAGACAUCUGAAAGGGAUUAAAGAUUUAUCGGUGAUGGAUGGGGAUGCGUCUGAUUAGCUUGUUGGCGGGGUAACGGCCCACCAAGGCGACGAUCAGUAGGGGUUCUGAGAGGAAGGUCCCCCCCAUUGGAACUGAGACACGGUCCAAACUCCUACGGGAGGCAGCAGUGAGGAAUACUGGUCAAUGGGCGAGAGCCUGAACCAGCCAAGUAGCGUGCAGGAUGACGGCCCUAUGGGUUGUAAACUGCUUUUAUAAGGGAAUAAAGUGGGAGUCGUGACUCUUUUUGCAUGUACCUUAUGAAUAAGGACCGGCUAAUUCCGUGCCAGCCGCCGCCGUAA